This 72-nucleotide transfer RNA is filed under the name Armatimonadia bacterium. Its description in RNAcentral is "tRNA-Met". It matches the Rfam family "tRNA". Rfam says of the family: Transfer RNA (tRNA) molecules are approximately 80 nucleotides in length. The record is from RNAcentral. Lineage: Bacteria; Bacillati; Armatimonadota; Armatimonadia.
AGCGGGGUGGAGCAGUGGUAGCUCGUCGGGCUCAUAACCCGAAGGUCGCAGGUUCGAACCCUGCCCCCGCUA